AUGUCUCACAUCCAGGACAUGCUGAUGC
This 28-nucleotide non-coding RNA is filed under the name Homo sapiens (human). The record is from RNAcentral. Lineage: Eukaryota; Metazoa; Chordata; Mammalia; Primates; Hominidae.